AGCUUUCCUUAUUACUCUAAGAAUGAGAUGAGGGCUUAUCCUGGCCCAGGGGGGGAACUGAACAACAAACUUUAAGAAACGACUACUAAGUCUUCCACCUAAGGAGCUUCUGUCCGGAACUGUAUGUGUGUGUAUUUUGUGACUCCUUACAGCACUCCCCAGAGUUGGUGGGUAUCACCUGCAUCCAAGAAUGUGUGGACAGACUUGGGGUGUUUGUACUGCGUACCUACAGUCACAGAUCUGGAAAGCAAGUUGCUGAUCUCUCUGCUCUAGCCUGUGAACGCAUUUCUAGACCAUGGUUGAAGAGCAUUUGAGGUGAAAUUAACCCAUCCUGGGUCCACGUAGGUUCUGAAAUCACCCUUCCCAAGGAGUUGUGUUCUCUGACUGAACUGUGAUCUCCCCGAGCCCAGCAAGCCUCAUUAUUGCUGUGGUAGCUUUCUCCUUCACCUUUCUCAGUUCUGCAGGGAUUUUGAUCUCCCUGGGAUGACUGUCUGCCCUGUAGAUCCCCUCCCUCCCAGCACCAAGAAGUUCCUGGGUCUCUGCUGUCCCACUUGGAGCUUCCUCAUAGUGCUCCUCCACCUUGCUUCCUUCCCAGUUCUUGGAGCUUGGGAGCUUGUUUCAGCUCCUGUCUUCUAGGGAGUUGAGGAUGUUGUCCUUUUGUCGCCUUGAGCCUUGGUACCCAGCUAGCAAAGCAGGGAAGUGUUGAACUCACUAAUGUUCUGCUUCCCCCGGCCCCUGUUCCUCACGUUUGUCCACAGCAAGGCCGCCACAGAGAGCGGUCUGAGGCUCUGUUCAAGGUCUCAAGGAGAGGCAUUGAAUAGGCCCUACUUUUCUGAAAAGCUGUCUUUGGGGCUUUCUCCUGUAAGGGCCCUCGAGUCUACAAGGUAAGGUGAAAGUUGUUUGUUUUGUCGUUCAGUAUUUAACUACAAGCUUCCUUUUCUGCGCCAGUGUCUUCUUUGUGAGUCCCUCCUUGAGCCCCUGUUUGCUUUGGAAUUUAAAUUAUUGUGUGUUGUCAGAAGUAUUUAAAGAUAGAAGAGUCCUGAAGGAAGCUUAUUAUCAGGUUCUUUUCUUUGGCCUUUUCUCUUCAUUUGUUUCAAGGUACUGUAUAUCGUUGAUGGGAUGCCAAGCGGGCUUGGUUCAGUGGCUAAGCCCCGCACUGUAUUAUGGUGUGAUGUUGAUCUCAGCCUGAUCCCAACACCAGAGCUCUCAGAGACUUGAAUAAAACUGUCAUAAUGGUCACUCCUGGUUCU
RNAcentral lists this long non-coding RNA (1250 nucleotides) under Rattus norvegicus (Norway rat). Its description in RNAcentral is "long non-coding RNA NONRATT025173". The record is from RNAcentral. Lineage: Eukaryota; Metazoa; Chordata; Mammalia; Rodentia; Muridae.